RNAcentral lists this ribosomal RNA (492 nucleotides) under uncultured bacterium. Its description in RNAcentral is "partial 16S ribosomal RNA". It matches the Rfam family "Bacterial small subunit ribosomal RNA", at positions 29 to 507 of the family's 1533-position model. The record is from RNAcentral.
AGUGAACGCUGGCGGUAGGCCUAACACAUGCAAGUCGAACGGCAGCACAGUAAGAGCUUGCUCUUACGGGUGGCGAGUGGCGGACGGGUGCGGAAUACAUCGGAAUCUACUUUUUCGUGGGGGAUAACGUAGGGAAACUUACGCUAAUACCGCAUACGACCUCCGGGUGAAAGCAGGGGAUCUUCGGACCUUGCGCGAUUGAAUGAGCCGAUGUCGGAUUAGCUAGUUGGCGGGGUAAAGGCCCACCAAGGCGACGAUCCGUAGCUGGUCUGAGAGAGAGUUCAGCCACACUGGAAGUGAGACACGGCCCAGACUCCUACGGGAGGCAGCAGUGGGGAAUAUUGGACAAUGGGGGCGAGCCUGAUCCAGCCAUACCGCGUGGGUGAAGAAGGCCUUCGGGUUGUAAAGCCCUUUUGUUGGGAGAGAAAAGCAGCAGGUUAAUACCCCGCUGUUCUGACGGUACCCAAAGAAUAAGCACCGGCUAACUUCGUG